CCUACGGGGAGCUGCAGUCGAGAAUCAUUCACAAUGGGGGAAACCCUGAUGGUGCGACGCCGCGUGGGGGAAUGAAGGUCUUCGGAUUGUAAACCCCUGUCAUGUGGGAGCAAAUUAAAAAGAUAGUACCACAAGAGGAAGAGACGGCUAACUCUGUGCCAGCAGCCGCGGUAAUACAGAGGUCUCAAGCGUUGUUCGGAAUCACUGGGCGUAAGGCGUGCGUAGGCUGUUUCGUAAGUCGUGUGUGAAAGGCGCGGGCUCAACCCGCGGACGGCACAUGAUACUGCGAGACUAGAGUAAUGGAGGGGGAACCGGAAUUCUCGGUGUAGCAGUGAAAUGCGUAGAUAUCGAGAGGAACACUCGUGGCGAAGGCGGGUUCCUGGACAUUAACUGACGCUGAGGCACGAAGGCCAGGGGAGCGAAAGGGAUUAGAUACCCGUGUAGUC
Molecule: ribosomal RNA, 446 nt
Filed under: uncultured bacterium
Lineage: Bacteria
Description: partial 16S ribosomal RNA
Rfam family: Bacterial small subunit ribosomal RNA
Source: RNAcentral